RNA transcript from Bombyx mori (domestic silkworm), 2601 nucleotides. It is a transcript of the gene named nitric oxide synthase-interacting protein homolog, with no coding region annotated. NCBI's taxonomy places the organism in Eukaryota, Metazoa, Arthropoda, Insecta, Lepidoptera, Bombycidae. The transcript has 3 exons. The record is from RefSeq and is a predicted model, not a curated record.
CCCAUAGAUUAAACACAUAAAUAAUAUUGUACUACCUACACUUACUUAAACAAUUAAUUUAAACAAACAGUUUUAAAAAUGACUCGACACGCUCGAAAUUGUACAGCAGGUGCUGUGUAUACAUAUCAUGAAAAGAAAAAGGACGCUGCUGCUUCUGGCUACGGUACUCAAAGUGAACGUGUCGGAAAAGACUCCAUAAAAAACUUUGAUUGCUGCAGCCUAACAUUACAGCCUUGUAGAAACCCUGUGGUCACAAAAGAAGGCUACUUAUUCGAUAAGGAAGCUAUUUUAGAGUACAUCAUCAGUAAGAAGAACGCAUAUAACCGCUUAUUAAAGAAAUAUGAGAAACAAUUAAAAAAAGAUGAAGUUGAAAGAGCCGAGCUUGCGGUGGCUGAAAAAGAAGCGAAACUCAUUAAAUUCAUGAACAGGGAAAAAAAUAUUUCAUCUACUACACCAAGUACUUCAGCUAUAGAGGAAAAAACGAUAAAUUCAGUAUCAAAUAUAGCGAAUGGUAAAGAAAAACAGUUACCUAGUUUUUGGGUACCAUCCCAACUUCCCGAUGCAAAGAUUUCGAAAAUAGAAAAACCUGAUCCAACCGUUUACUGUCCGAUCAGCGGCAAACCAUUGAAAAUGAAGGAUUUAAUAGAAGUUAAGUGGACAUUGGUGAAUGAUCCAGAUGAUAAGAAGUCUUUAAUAGCCAAAGAAAACCGGUACAUGUGUCCAGUGACACAUGAUAUAUUAAGUAAUGCUGUGCCCUGCGCUGUUAUCAGAACUUCAGGACAUGUUGUGACAAUGGAAUGUGUUGAGAAAAUCAUAAAAAAAGAUUGGUUGCAUCCAUUAACUGGUGAGAAACUUAAAGAAAAAGAUAUAAUUCUACUGCAAAGAGGGGGCACUGGAUAUGCACUCACCAAUCAAAACCUAGAAGGGAAAAAUGAAAGGCCUGUUUUACAAGCGUAAUUAAAUAAAUAUCUGUAGAACAAAAAUAAUAUAUACAGUCAAAACCGUUUACUGCGACAUCGUUUAGAACAACAUGUAUAUAUCGUUUAGAACAAUGCUAUAUGACCGCCUUAUUAAAAACAUUGCUUUAUACGACAUUGCUAAUAACGACAUACCUCAUAAAACGACCACAUUUAACUAAUAUUUCGUAGAAUUAGAUUUGUUACUACGACCGGCUAAACUGUAUUGUAAACAAUUUGAAUAGGUAUCCACAUUUGUCUUCAAUGGCUAUUAAAAUCAGGAAAGAAAACAAUAGGAUUUAGUUUAGUGUAGGGUUUUUUCUAAUUCUUAGAAACAAAACACGUGCAUGCAGUUACUGUACCAACUUUGAAUGAUGGUAUCAAUGCUGUUAGUGUAUUAAGAAAGAUUGCUCUUUUUAAUGAACAGUUCCACAUCCACGACAAUUAUGAAGAUACGUUAAUUAAAAUCCAACGUGAAUUACUAAAUAUCUAUGCACAACAGAAGUGUUCCAAACAGACCAAAAUUACAAAUUUUAUGCUCACAGAAAAAUAAUAUGCAUUGUACUUAUGUGUAAUAAACAAAAUGUACAUAGUUGAAUAAAUAUAUUUUUCCAAUAAUUCCCCAUCGAUUUGUUUGUACUUGCACGAUACACAUUAAACAUCAUCGGUUGUUACGACUAUCGGUUAUUACGACUGAAUAUGAGCAGUCCCUUCGAUGUCGUUAUAACAGAUUUUGACUGUAGUUAGAUUGUGAGAAUAUUCAUUUACACUUUGUGUUCUGUAUGAAUGUUCCUCCAAUUUUGUUUUGUUUGUGGGAAUUUCUUUUUAUUUUUUUUUAUGGUGUAGAAGAGUGGACAAGCUCAUGGCCCACCUGGUGUUAAGUGGUUACUAGAGCCCAUAGACAUCUAAAACAUAAAUGCCGCCACCUACCUUGAGACAAGAGUUCUAAGGUCUCAAUUUUAAUAGUACAUAUCUUAAGAUAAAAAUCAGUUUUAAAUUUAGAUCAUGGUGGAGGUCAACAUUCCUCACGUACUACGAUGCUCUCAUGGCUAUCCUGCAGAAACGGGAUAACCAGAAUGUUUCUGUGGAGUGUCCUGCGGUACUAUCAGCUUUGGAUGUUUCACUGUUCUACCGCUUCGUGUGACUUUGGUCUGAAAAAGUUAUUCUGUUAGCAUCAACAAUCACUGCACACAAAUUAAGUUUAAAUUUGAAUAAAAUUGGAACUGUUAUCCUUUGGUCCACUACCACCCUGUUCACAUAUUUCCUCUCUGUAAUUAUAAUUAACUUUAAAAUUUAAGAAAGAAAUUAUGCUCACCACGGCAGGUAGCUCUGGUUCGUCUACAAAAUCUUCAAUAACAAUCUGUUUUUUCACAAAUUCUUUUUUCGGUAUCUCAAUCUUUUUUUCUUCUUUCUUCUCUUUAAAGAUGAUGUUCUUUUUACCUGCGAUAACGAGGUCCUUCGGAGAAAUAACCCUGUAAGAAAAAAAUUAGCUUUAUUCAAAUAUAAUAAAACUACUCCAAAGCUACCUGCCAUAUUAUGUUGAUAUACACUGAACUAUGAUACACUAAUACACAAAAUUGUUUAUUUUAUAACAAAUUAUAAGAUGAUUUAGUAUAAUAACAAUUAAAGUACUUUUACGAUUUAA